GAACUGAAACAUCUAAGUACCCCGAGGAAAAGAAAUCAACCGAGAUUCCCCCAGUAGCGGCGAGCGAACGGGGAGCAGCCCAGAGCCUGAAUCAGUGUGUGUGUUAGUGGAAGCGUCUGGAAAGGCGCGCGAUACAGGGUGACAGCCCCGUACACAAAAAUGCACAUAUUGUGAGCUCGAUGAGUAGGGCGGGACACGUGGUAUCCUGUCUGAAUAUGGGGGGACCAUCCUCCAAGGCUAAAUACUCCUGACUGACCGAUAGUGAACCAGUACCGUGAGGGAAAGGCGAAAAGAAC
RNAcentral lists this ribosomal RNA (296 nucleotides) under Escherichia coli. RNAcentral's name for it is "partial 23S ribosomal RNA". It matches the Rfam family "Bacterial large subunit ribosomal RNA", at positions 190 to 524 of the family's 2925-position model. The record is from RNAcentral. Lineage: Bacteria; Pseudomonadati; Pseudomonadota; Gammaproteobacteria; Enterobacterales; Enterobacteriaceae.